This is a long non-coding RNA of Myripristis murdjan (pinecone soldierfish), 338 nucleotides long. RefSeq lists it as uncharacterized. The record is from RefSeq and is a predicted model, not a curated record. NCBI's taxonomy places the organism in Eukaryota, Metazoa, Chordata, Actinopteri, Holocentriformes, Holocentridae. The transcript has 3 exons.
GGAGAGUCGGGGUCCCGCCGCCACCUUCAUCUCUGCUCCAUAAAACCUCCGUUACUGAAGGAGAGAGCCUCGGACGACACACCUGACCUCACGUCACUGUGAAACAGGGUGAAGGAAGACAAGACGGACUAAACCUCAACACGCUUCAAAGACACAGACUUCCCUAGCUCCGCCCUCCAGCUGACACCAUGGAGAUCGCAGAAGAACUCAUAACGGAGAUCAACUCCUGCCUGGACCAACAAAUAGAGUGUGCACAGACACUGGAGGAGCUGGCCUCUGAGCUGGAGGACAUCAGGAAGACCGCUACGACCAGUGACGAUGUUGGAGGCUCUUUGUCU